This 440-nucleotide ribosomal RNA is filed under the name uncultured Pseudomonas sp. RNAcentral's name for it is "bacterial SSU rRNA". It matches the Rfam family "Bacterial small subunit ribosomal RNA", at positions 358 to 790 of the family's 1533-position model. Lineage: Bacteria; Pseudomonadati; Pseudomonadota; Gammaproteobacteria; Pseudomonadales; Pseudomonadaceae. The record is from RNAcentral.
GGAAUAUUGCACAAUGGGGGAAACCCUGAUGCAGCCAUGCCGCGUGUGUGAAGAAGGCCUUCGGAUUGUAAAGCACUUUAAGUUGGGAGGAAGGGCAUUAACCUAAUACGUUAGUGUUUUGACGUUACCGACAGAAUAAGCACCGGCUAACUCUGUGCCAGCAGCCGCGGUAAUACAGAGGGUGCAAGCGUUAAUCGGAAUCACUGGGCGUAAAGCGCGCGUAGGUGGUUUGUUAAGUUGAAUGUGAAAUCCCCGGGCUCAACCUGGGAACUGCAUCCAAAACUGGCAAGCUAGAGUAUGGUAGAGGGUAGUGGAAUUUCCUGUGUAGCGGUGAAAUGCGUAGAUAUAGGAAGGAACACCAGUGGCGAAGGCGACUACCUGGACUGAUACUGACACUGAGGUGCGAAAGCGUGGGGAGCAAACAGGAUUAGAUACCCGGG